GUUCAAGAAGUCAUCGCAGAAUGAACGGAGUUCAAGAAGAUGACAACAGUCGUCCCAAGUUAGCUGAUGAAUUCUACCAAGUUGAAGCCAUCAGAAAGAAAAGAUGUUACAAGGGAAAGUGCAGUACUUGGUGAAAUGGUUUGGAUGGCCUCAGAAAACCAACACUUAGGAACCGGUGGAGAAUCUGUUAAGUUGUUCAGAUCUCAUUGACAAAUUCAAUGAAAGGCGAAUGUAGAAAAGCAAAUGAAGAUGGCUGGUGUUGUUCGAACCGAUGGGAAGAAUGGGUGAAACUAUGUAGCAAAGGAAAGGAAAAUAAUUGAAAUGACAAUAGAGAAAUGACAAAGCACUAUGAGGUUAAUACUGCACCUUUUUUUCAUAGUAUUUAACUACUAGCAAAAGUGUGCUAGUUGUUAUUUUAUUUUAUUAUAUUCUCAUUAUCUUAUAGCAAAUGAGUUUCCCUUAGUAAUUCGACUAUGCUAAUAUUGGAAUAUGUAAAUGCACCUCAUGAUGAUAAAUGCGGGAAGCGGCUUCUCGAAGACUCGAUGAAGAUUUGCAGAUCCCGCAUAUAUCAAGGGGGAGUCUGUAAGUGCACCAAAGUUUGAAAGUGUCACAAGUUUGGACAAGGGUUCUUAUACAUAUGAGAACUUGUGGGUUUAGAGUGUCAGUACUUGCAAUCUUUUAUAUGGUGAGUACUUGUGGUUCUCUAAAAGGUGCGAGCUUGUGUUGUCUAGUUAGUGGUGAGUACUUAUUUGUUAAAUAAUGAAGCUUUAUUGUUAGGUCUAUGAUGUCCGAACAUAUGAUUGUAUAUAAGCUUUGUGAUGUAUGCAAUCAUUAGACAUUCAAUGAAACAAUGAUAUUUUGGAGAAAACUUCUUGUGUAAACAAACCCUAGCUUUGUGUUCUUUAUUUAAUCUAUGUGAUUGUUGAUUGUGAAUACUCUGUGUACUCACGAUUCUCUCAUCUUCUACACCUUAUGUACGAGCUCUACGUUGCGGUACGAGGCACGCGGUGGUUUUUGCACAUCGUGUGUGUGUUCGAUCUGUCCGGUUCGUGUGUUUGUUGAAGGAAGACAACCUUACAAGUGGUAUUAGAGCAGGGAGUAGGCUCUAUAUACAGAGGGCUCUUACCCCUGUAGACUUCGUGUUGGAGGAAACUUUAAGUAUAAGUAUUGAAGAAAAAGAUGAUCAUCCUGAUCUUAAGAUGAAGAUACAGUCAAGGAGUAUUGCUAAAAAGGUGCCUACAUGAUAUCUUAACAAGAAGAAAAGAAAGAUACAUCUUCAACUAAGCAUCAGGAGAAGAUCAAAACAAAGAAGACAAUCAGAUAAAACCUUUCUAAUGAAGUCUGAUGAUAAAUCUGGUAUUUAUCAUCACAAUCUGGUAAAGUCUAAUCAACAGAAAUCUAGUGAUCGAGUUCAUCAGUAGUCACCAGAAAUUCUCGUAGACCCACUUGUCUUCGAGAUAAGGCCUGACACAAACCCAAAAAGGAGCAAGUUGGCAAUAACCGAUUCAAUGAAUAUGCCAAAAAGUCCCUUUGUGCAGAGCAAGUUGUUUAUUCAGAUCUGGAAUUUCUAUAAAUAGAGAUGUCAAAUCCCGGAGGAUAAAUGAGUUGUGCUUAGCAUUCAAUACACACACUACA
Molecule: long non-coding RNA, 1635 nt
Organism: Helianthus annuus (common sunflower)
Lineage: Eukaryota; Viridiplantae; Streptophyta; Magnoliopsida; Asterales; Asteraceae
Exons: 6
Source: RefSeq, a predicted model, not a curated record